AGCUCCAAUAGCGUAUAUUAAAGUUGUUGCAGUUAAAAAGCUCGUAGUUGGAUUUCUGACAAGAGUGAUCGGUCCGGGCCACAUGGUCCGUGUACUUGGUUUUACUCUAGUCAUCCUUAUGGAGAACGUGCGUGGCAUUCGGUUGUCGCGUACGGGACCCAUAUCAUUUACUGUGAAAAAAUUAGAGUGUUCAAAGCAGGCAAUCGCUGUGAAUACAUUAGCAUGGAAUAAUAAGAUAGGACUUUGGUACUAUUUUGUUGGUUUGCAUACCAAGGUAAUGAUUAAGAGGGACAGUUGGGGGUAUUCGUAUUUAAUUGUCAGAGGUGAAAUUCUUGGAUUUAUGAAAGACGAACUACUGCGAAAGCAUUUACCAAGGAUGUUUUCAUUAAUCAAGAACGAA
RNAcentral lists this ribosomal RNA (400 nucleotides) under phytoplankton environmental sample. RNAcentral describes it as "partial small subunit ribosomal RNA". It matches the Rfam family "Eukaryotic small subunit ribosomal RNA", at positions 587 to 987 of the family's 1831-position model. The record is from RNAcentral.